This is a non-coding RNA of Lactuca sativa (garden lettuce), 959 nucleotides long. The record is from RefSeq and is a predicted model, not a curated record. NCBI's taxonomy places the organism in Eukaryota, Viridiplantae, Streptophyta, Magnoliopsida, Asterales, Asteraceae.
GAAAAAAAAAGUAUGCUAAUGAAUUGAAGACAGAGUUAGAAGCCUGAGUUAGAAAAAGUUCCAAAAUCGUAGGAAAAAAAAGGAUGAAGCUUUUAUUGCUUGUAGAAGAUUCCACUUCUCCAAAACCUUCUUUACUUGUAGUUGGGGAAAAGUGCUGGAUGUCGUUGACUAUUAAGGUAAAUUGGUCAAUUUAGGCGCUGUUUGAUUUGGAUCUCAUUGGGUCAGGUUAGACAAAAAUGUCUGACUCGAUCAGCUCCAUGUGUUUGAUAUGUCUUCUUUUUGCAUCUGACUGAGUCAACAAUGUCUAACUCGGUCGUCACAAAAAAUCUUGCUGACUGAGAAAGUAUGAAAUCGAUUCCACAAUUGCCCUUGAAUCAGCACCAACCUCACAUUGUCGUUCCUCAUAGCCAUCAAUUUAAUCCCUAGAAAGGGAAAAAGAAACACGAACAGAAGCAGCAAACAACGUGGUCUGGUGGAGGAUUAGCAAAAAGAAACACGAAAGGGCCAAAGGGGAAGGAAGGGUGGAGAAGAUUGGACCGGUGAUGGUAGAUCUGUCGAAGGGGGGCUGCUCCGGCAGCUCUUGUGUUGCUUCUUCUUUCCUGACCAGACAUAACGCGAAAAGGUUGUUGCCUCUUUUAUCUCGCCGGAAAAAGAGGGGCAAGAGGCUGUUGCCUCUUUAAUCUUGUCGGAAAAUGAAAACAACCACCAACAAGUAUUUCAUGUUUGGGUGUGGCUUCUUCUUUGAUUCUUUGACAGCAAGGAGGAAGAAAAAGAAAGAGAAAGACAAAGUAAAGAAGCAGCAAAAAGUAUACAUGUUUUUUUGGAUAUCAAAUUAUCAAUCAGGAAGGAAAAAGACAAAUAAACAAAAGGUGUAUAAGGUGUACACGACAUCAUUACUAAUAUUAAUAUUAUUAUUGUUAUUAUUAUUAUUGUUGUUAUUAUUAUUAUUAUUAUUAUUA